UUUAUGGAGAGUUUGAUCCUGGCUCAGGAUGAACGCUGGCGGCGUGCCUAAUACAUGCAAGUCGAGCGAACGGAUGAGAAGCUUGCUUCUCUGAUGUUAGCGGCGGACGGGUGAGUAACACGUGGAUAACCUACCUAUAAGACUGGGACAACUUCGGGAAACCGGAGCUAAUACCGGAUAAUAUUUUGAACCGCAUGGUUCAAAAGUGAAAGACGGUCUUGCUGUCACUUAUAGAUGGAUCCGCGCUGCAUUAGCUAGUUGGUAAGGUAACGGCUUACCAAGGCAACGAU
Molecule: ribosomal RNA, 290 nt
Filed under: Staphylococcus aureus
Lineage: Bacteria; Bacillati; Bacillota; Bacilli; Caryophanales; Staphylococcaceae
Description: partial 16S ribosomal RNA
Rfam family: Bacterial small subunit ribosomal RNA
Source: RNAcentral